This 159-nucleotide ribosomal RNA is filed under the name Penicillium spinulosum. RNAcentral's name for it is "5.8S ribosomal RNA". The stretch from base 18 to 159 matches the Rfam family "5.8S ribosomal RNA". Rfam says of the family: 5.8S ribosomal RNA (5.8S rRNA) is a component of the large subunit of the eukaryotic ribosome. It is transcribed by RNA polymerase I as part of the 45S precursor that also contains 18S and 28S rRNA. RNAcentral also lists the same sequence under 1 other name. The record is from RNAcentral. Lineage: Eukaryota; Fungi; Ascomycota; Eurotiomycetes; Eurotiales; Aspergillaceae.
UAAACUAAAUAAGUUAAAACUUUCAACAACGGAUCUCUUGGUUCCGGCAUCGAUGAAGAACGCAGCGAAAUGCGAUAACUAAUGUGAAUUGCAGAAUUCAGUGAAUCAUCGAGUCUUUGAACGCACAUUGCGCCCCCUGGUAUUCCGGGGGGCAUGCCU